Molecule: ribosomal RNA, 237 nt
Filed under: uncultured bacterium
Lineage: Bacteria
Description: partial 16S ribosomal RNA
Rfam family: Bacterial small subunit ribosomal RNA
Source: RNAcentral
CCGGCACGGGUGAGUAACACGUAUCCAACCUGCCGUCUACUCUUGGACAGCCUUCUGAAAGGAAGAUUAAUACAAGAUGGCAUCAUGAGUUCACAUGUUCACAUGAUUAAAGGUGUUCCGGUAGACGAUGGGGAUGCGUUCCAUUAGAUAGUAGGCGGGGUAACGGCCCACCUAGUCUUCGAUGGAUAGGGGUUCUGAGAGGAAGGUCCCCCACAUUGGAACUGAGACACGGUCCAA